Molecule: ribosomal RNA, 397 nt
Filed under: uncultured bacterium
Lineage: Bacteria
Description: partial 16S ribosomal RNA
Rfam family: Bacterial small subunit ribosomal RNA
Source: RNAcentral
AUACGUAGGGGGCGAGCGUUGUCCGGAAUGAUUGGGCGUAAAGGGCGCGUAGGCGGCCCGGUAAGUCUGGAGUGAAAGUCCUGUUUUUAAGAUGGGAAUUGCUUUGGAUACUGUCGGGCUUGAGUGCAGGAGAGGUAAGUGGAAUUCCCAGUGUAGCGGUGAAAUGCGUAGAGAUUGGGAGGAACACCAGUGGCGAAGGCGACUUACUGGACUGUAACUGACGCUGAGGCGCGAAGGUGUGGGGAGCAAACAGGAUUAGAUACCCUGGUAGUCCACACUGUAAACGAUGAAUGCUAGGUGUAGGGGGUAUCGACCCCUUCUGUGCCGCAGUCAACACAAUAAGCAUUCAGCCUGGGGAGUACGGCCGCAAGGUUGAAACUCAAAUGAAUUGGCGGGG